This 96-nucleotide transfer RNA is filed under the name Mycobacterium paraintracellulare. RNAcentral describes it as "tRNA-Arg". Lineage: Bacteria; Bacillati; Actinomycetota; Actinomycetes; Mycobacteriales; Mycobacteriaceae. The record is from RNAcentral.
GACAGGGCUGGCGGGCGCGGCGCCGCGGACGGGCACGGUCUGUCCGAUCGAGUAGUCCUCUGCGGUUUGGGCGCAUUCGACGCGCACCCCCUGGUA